ACCCGGUUAACUCAAUCGGUAAAGCAUUAGACUCUUACAAGUACACGAUCUCAAAGUUGCGGGUUCGACCCCCGCAUCGGGCU
Molecule: non-coding RNA, 83 nt
Organism: Fusarium sp. DS 682
Lineage: Eukaryota; Fungi; Ascomycota; Sordariomycetes; Hypocreales; Nectriaceae
Source: the annotation of a GenBank genome assembly